CCUAGCAGAGUGGGCUGGUCACCUGCUACGCUGUGAUUUGUUGCUGUGUUUUAUGAAACUACUAGCCCUGCCUAGAGCUGAAGUGGAGCCCUCCAGAGACCCUUCCCACCUGGAAUCUUCCUGAUGCUCUUUGCUCCUGUUUGAAGUUGGACCUUGCUGCCUGCCGUGCUCUCUGCUCCAUUCUUUCAGCAGAAGGUGGAGCUGAAGUCCUCGUCUUCGGAUCCUGAGAGAAAUUGGGGAGGACAGCGGAAAAGAGUUGCUUUGAAAAAGGAGCUUUUGAAAAGUGAGCGUGGCUUUGUUAAUUUACUGUUUCUAAUUGAAAGCUUACAGGGAAUAUGGUUUUGCUUUCUAGUGGUUAGCCAGCUGACUCAUGCAUCAUCACUUGCAAGGACCACACAGGACAAACUCUGCACUGAGUUAUGCUGGGACACCUCAUAGGCUUCAUCAUAUCUGUCUGUGCAAUAGGGCCUAUGAGCAAAUAACUGGCUCACAAAAACACUACUUGGUUUAAGUUAACUAAUUCCAGAGAUUUUGCUAAGUAAACAGUUCUUCUCCCUUGAGUGCCUGUAAAAGCAAGACGGCCUCUCGAAGCCAAAGAGAGCCUGUGGAAUAGUUAAUAAAACAACAAAUGGUUAGAAAUGGAGUUUAAUGAGAAGAAAGGACAAAUGGUGCUGGGCAUGCACAGGGUUAGCAUCCUGCCUGCUGCCCCUCCACCUCCUUACUGAGUCCUGCCUUCAGUCCUUUGAGGAAGGGGACCACAGGGACCUGAGCAAGGUUUUGUUGGCCACCAAGCAGGCAAGCCUUGAGGGACAGAGGGGUAGUUGUGGAUGUGUGUCUCUGGGAGCUCUGUGAGAGCUCUGUGGUGGUGUCAGCCCUGGCAAGAUGGAAGAGUGGAGGGUGGUCAUAUUAGAUGUGGUCUGAGACAGAUAAUGCCAUUUUGCCUACUCCAUCAAGAUCAUUUUCAUCACAGACAUCAGCGCCAGGUAAACUUUUGAUGCUGGCUCCCCCAGCAUAUCCACUGUCUGCUGUGUUUUCUGUGCUUCUGCAGAUGUGUGUGUACAAAGCGAUGGUGUGUUGGUCACUUUAACCGGCCCUGCCUUCUGCAAGAGCACAUAAAUUGCAGGCGUUUCUGGACUCCCACACAGCUUUUCUAGACCUGAAGCCGCUGGUGUCUGGGGGUGACAUUGUGCACAGAAAGUUUCCUGCAAGCUUGCCUCUCGCAGCAGUGCUCGUGUAAUAAGCCACCUCCCAGUUCUUCUCAGGCACUUUCAAAAUGAGUAUGUUUGGUAUAGACAGGGGAAUUGCAGGACUUUAAAAAGAGAUAAAAGGGACUGCAUGGUUGUGUAUUCAUUUUGUAGGCCUCGGUCAGACCUUGUUUUUCAGCUUCCUAUACUGUUCUCAUUAAGGGGAAGAUAAACCAUCUCCUAUGAUUGCAGUCUGUGAUUCCCAGCCCAGAUUGCUCUGUCCUGGGAAAUGUGCUUGGGCUGCUGUCAGAAACUGCUGUGUUUCACUGACUUAAAAUGCUUGCCUCUAAACGAAAAGGAGUAAGAUGGUCCUGGGAGGUGUCCUUGUCCUCUGGAAGAAACUGGGGGAUUGUGUGCCUUUGGCCUGGAACUGGUUUUGUUCCUUGGGCCUAGGCCUGUGUGAUCACAGUAUGUAGUGCAGGGAGGUUUCAUGGGUUAUCUUUGCAAAACCACCCUGAAUCAUCGAAAAAGCCAACUCCCUGUGAGAUUGCUGUAUAAAACACCUGCUGUAUAAGACUCUCUUAUUUAUCCUCCUUUUAAAAAAGGAGCAUUUCAUCCCUUGGUGGCAAAGAGUUGAUGGAGUGAGUUCCCCCUGCCCCAACACUGAUAUGCCUGCAUGUGAUCAGCUGGACCUGCUUUCAGGUGCUCUUAGAUAGCAGUCAGUAAGGCAGGACCCCUUUGUAGGGCCUCAUGAGGAGGUUAUGGGGUGACAGUGGUGCUUGUUCCCUCCUGGAGGGAUCUGGAGAUCAAUGUCAUGCCAGAGGGUACGGAGCUCUGUGUUGUGAGGAGGCUUGUGUGAUGUCUGAAGGCCUUCUGUGU
Molecule: non-coding RNA, 2063 nt
Organism: Anas platyrhynchos (mallard)
Lineage: Eukaryota; Metazoa; Chordata; Aves; Anseriformes; Anatidae
Source: RefSeq, a predicted model, not a curated record